UGGAUUACGCCAAGGUUGGCAACAGAUAAAUCGUAUCUGUCUUGCUGGUUCGAUUCCAGCUAAUCCAACCA
This 71-nucleotide transfer RNA is filed under the name Priestia iocasae. Its description in RNAcentral is "tRNA-Phe". Lineage: Bacteria; Bacillati; Bacillota; Bacilli; Caryophanales; Bacillaceae. The record is from RNAcentral.